AGCCCGCUCAGAAACUUAAAGGAAUUGACGGGGGCCCGCACAAGCAGCGGAGCGUGUGGUUUAAUUCGAUGCGACGCGAAGAACCUUACCCAGGAUUGACAUCCACGUAGUAGUGAAGCGAAAGCGGAACGACCCUUCGGGGAGCGUGGACAGGUGCUGCAUGGCUGUCGUCAGCUCGUGUCGUGAGAUGUUGGGUUAAGUCCCGCAACGAGCGCAACCCUUGUCGCUAGUUACACGUGUCUAGCGAGACUGCCGAUAUCAAGUUGGAGGAAGGUGGGGAUGACGUCAAGUCAGCAUGGCCUUUAUGUCCGGGGCUACACACACGCUACAAUGGUCGGUACAAUGGGUUGCUAAGCCGCGAGGUGGAGCCAAUCCCCCAAAGCCGGCCUCAGUUCAGAUUGCAGGCUGCAACUCGCCUGCAUGAAGCUGGAGUUGCUAGUAAACGCGCGUCAGCUAUAGUGCGUUGAAUACGUUCUCGGGCCUU
Molecule: ribosomal RNA, 484 nt
Filed under: uncultured Caldilinea sp.
Lineage: Bacteria; Bacillati; Chloroflexota; Caldilineae; Caldilineales; Caldilineaceae
Description: bacterial SSU rRNA
Rfam family: Bacterial small subunit ribosomal RNA
Source: RNAcentral